UACAGAGGAUGCAAGCGUUAUCCGGAAUGAUUGGGCGUAAAGCGUCUGUAGGUGGCUUUUUAAGUCCGCCGUCAAAUCCCAGGGCUCAACUCUGGACAGGCGGUGGAAACUACCAAGCUGGAGUACGGUAGGGGCAGAGGGAAUUUCCGGUGGAGCGGUGAAAUGCGUAGAGAUCGGAAGGAACGCCCGUGGCGAAAGCGAGGCCCUGGACGUCUGCUGACGCUGAGACGCGAAAGCCAGGGGAGCGAACGGG
Molecule: ribosomal RNA, 253 nt
Filed under: uncultured bacterium
Lineage: Bacteria
Description: partial 16S ribosomal RNA
Rfam family: Bacterial small subunit ribosomal RNA
Source: RNAcentral